This 463-nucleotide ribosomal RNA is filed under the name uncultured bacterium. RNAcentral describes it as "bacterial SSU rRNA". It matches the Rfam family "Bacterial small subunit ribosomal RNA", at positions 26 to 518 of the family's 1533-position model. The record is from RNAcentral.
UGGCUACAGAACGAACGCUGGCGGCAGGCUUAACACGAUGCAAGUCGAACGCCCCGCAAGGGGAGUGGCAGACCGGGUGAGUAACGGCGUGGGAAUCUAACCUAGUUCUACGGAACAACAGUUGGAAACGACUGGACUAAUACCGGUAUACGCCCUACGGGGGAAAGAUUUAUCGGAAUUAGAUGAGCCCGCGUAAGAUUAGCUAGUUGGUGGGGUAAUGGCCUACCAAGGCGACGAUCUUUAGCUGGUCUGAGAGGAUGAUCAGCCACACUGGGACUGAGACACGGCCCAGACUCCUACGGGAGGCAGGCUAGUGGGGAAUAGUUGGACAAUGGGCGCAAGCCUGAUCCCAGCCAUGCCGCGUGAGUGAUGAAGGCCUUAGGGUUGUAAAGCUCUUUCACCCGAUGAAGAUAAUGACGGUAGUCGGAGAAGAAGCCCCGGCUAACUUCGUGCCAGCCGCGGC